GACGUAGGGUGCAAGCGUUAAUCGGAAUUACUGGGCGUAAAGCGUGCGCAGGCGGUUUUGUAAGACAGGUGUGAAAUCCCCGGGCUCAACCUGGGAACUGCACUUGUGACUGCAAGGCUAGAGUGUGUCAGAGGGAGGUGGAAUUCCGCGUGUAGCAGUGAAAUGCGUAGAGAUGCGGAGGAACACCGAUGGCGAAGGCAGCCUCCUGGGAUAACACUGACGCUCAGGCACGAAAGCGUGGGGAGCAAAC
This 250-nucleotide ribosomal RNA is filed under the name uncultured bacterium. RNAcentral's name for it is "partial 16S ribosomal RNA". It matches the Rfam family "Bacterial small subunit ribosomal RNA", at positions 524 to 773 of the family's 1533-position model. The record is from RNAcentral.